This 468-nucleotide ribosomal RNA is filed under the name uncultured bacterium. Its description in RNAcentral is "partial 16S ribosomal RNA". It matches the Rfam family "Bacterial small subunit ribosomal RNA", at positions 28 to 507 of the family's 1533-position model. The record is from RNAcentral.
GACGAACGCUGGCGGCGUGCUUAACACAUGCAAGUCGAACGGAAAGGCCCUGCUUUUGUGGGGUGCUCGAGUGGCGAACGGGUGAGUAACACGUGAGUAACCUGCCCUUGACUUUGGGAUAACUUCAAGAAACUGGGGCUAAUACCGGAUAGGAGCUCCUGCUGCAUGGUGGGGGUUGGAAAGUUUCGGCGGUUGGGGAUGGACUCGCGGCUUAUCAGCUUGUUGGUGGGGUAGUGGCUUACCAAGGCUUUGACGGGUAGCCGGCCUGAGAGGGUGACCGGCCACAUUGGGACUGAGAUACGGCCCAGACUCCUACGGGAGGCAGCAGUGGGGAAUAUUGCACAAUGGGCGGAAGCCUGAUGCAGCAACGCCGCGUGCGGGAUGAUGGCCUUCGGGUUGUAAACCGCUUUCGCCUGUGACGAAGCGUGAGUGACGGUAAUGGGUAAAGAAGCACCGGCUAACUACGUG